CGGAAAAGGUCAGCCUCUCCCGGAAGCGGAAACCCCCUCUGGUCCGCUGUCACGUCGGACUAGGUGCUGCCACCUCUGCUGCCUCCUGGUGGGAUCCAGGAAACACUACGAGGAGAACCCGCGGGGAUGUCGGCCAGAGGACAAGCUGCAGCCCAGGGACAUUUGGGCAAACAACUGAAUGGUGGUUUGCUGGUGAAGUGUUUAUAGAGAAUUCAACUCCAUGGCUGGAAGAGACUCUGGCCUUCCACAGAGGCGGUCUGGUUCUCCCCACAAACGUCCUCACAGCUGAAGUGACUCUGAGAUGCGCUUCUCCGGGUGGGAGGAUUUGCUCCAUGUAGCUUUUCCCAUACACAGGGAGGGUGUUUACAGCUCUGCUUCAUAGCACCUGAUGCUGCAGGAGUGUGAGGGGCUGACCCUUGCUGGGAGAACUAAGCACAGAUGAAUGUGUCACUGAGAAGGAAUUUCGUAACAUAUGUGCUCUUCAAAGUUUUUAUUGAGUCCAAAUGGACUGCAAAUACAGUCCUCUGCUGCCUCUCGGGCCAAUGAAUUCAGGUUCCAAGAUCCCCAGGACACCCCCAUUCUGUCUUCAUCCCUUGCAUCUGCUUCCCUUUGCAGGUUGGCCUCAUUUUCCUAAUCCCAUUGCCCCCAUUGAAGCAGGAGCAGCUGCAAACCUCUCAAACACCGAACAGGGAAGGAAGUUAAGGUAUUUUCACCUGCUGCUCAGCUGGGAGCUGCAGCAGGUGAAAAUACAAACAACUGAGCUCUUCGACGAAGAAAAUCCUUGCCCUUUUAAAGUCUUAUAAUUCUAGAAAUUACAUGUGAAAGGGUCUUGAUCCAUGAAGUAGGCGUGGGGUACGUGACUAGGUGGGGGUUUGAUCGUGUUUAAGCAAAAACAGUGCCUUCUGGAAAGAUUCCUCCAUACCAUGCCAGGGAUCUAUAGGAGUGUGAUUAAGGGUGGCACCCGGUCUGCCAGCCUUUACUUCUACUGAAAUGCAAUAUAGAAGUCUAGGGGGAAGGGCUCUCAGAAGCUUAAGAGAAUUAAGGGUCUCUUUCCUCACCGUGAAGCUGGAGCUUUGCAAGAGAAACUCUCAUCUCUAACCUGUGAGUGGAAAAUGCUAGGGAAGGGUUCUGAAUGGCUUGGCUUGGCCCCAUGCCUCUCCUUGGUCUAGUCAUGGGAGCCAAAGAGAUGGGUCACUUACAGCCAGCUUGGGUCAUCUGCCCCAUUGCUGCGGCCAGUGCCCUCAGCAGAAAAGAUCACGGGGUCAGCAAGGAGGGCAGCCUCCUCAAAGCUCAGAGCUGUGUAGGCAUGGGGGCCACACGGCAGCAUGAGACCAUCCUCGUGCUCUACAACCUGGUACAAGUGAGUUGGGGAAGAUGUUGAUUGAUACACAUAUGAAGACAUUAUAAAGUCAACCCUUAAUGUGUCCCGUGGAAUUCAGUGGAAGGAGAGAGAACAUCAGAGAUUGAUGCCAUGGGGCAGGAGGAAGCCCAGGCCAGUGGUGAGAAAUUGCGCUGGAUACCAGCUAUCCAGGGGGGACUGACUAUCAGAGAUCCUGGAAGCCACAGGGGGAAGAAGAGUAGAUUCUCCAUCACUGGAGCUUCCUUAUACAUGAGGAGAGACAGCCAGGUAAGGAGUGUGCUGGGGAGGGGGGAAGAGCCUCAGCAGCAAGUGAAGGUGGCACCACUCCCUCCAUCACCGCCCCGGGUCCCCAGUGGCCUGGAGAGGGCCAUGAAUUUCAGCAUUCCCUGUGUGACUCACCAGUAGGGUACUGGCCUCACCAUUUUGCCUGUCUCUGCCUGGGCUUCACUCACUUUAUACCAGUGGAGAUCUCAAACUGCAGCAUGCCUAAGACUUACAGAGGGAACACGGGUAAAACACUGGCAUUGGGGACAGUCCCAGGGUGGGUAGGAUAGUUUAGUGGGUCUAGAGAGGGGCCUGACAGUCUGCAUUUUUAAUAGGCUGCCCCAGGUGAUUCUGAUAUAGCUGGUGCAGCAUGCUUUGCUGGGUGGUACAACAGGGUAAUGUCAGAGAGAAAGGAGGAAGAGAUUUGUGGCUGUUGCUAUUUGUUAGAGGCUGACUUCUGAUGUUGACGCAAUAGACCCUGCAAAGCUCUGAGCUGGGCAGGAAUACGGGCCACAUAAGCAGCAUGAAACACAUAAGCUCUAGGACCUAGUAUCCCUGGGUUGGGGACGACAUGGAAUGAUGCUCAUAUGAAGAAACUGUGAAGUCACCUCUCAUUGGGUGGGGUGAAAUUCCAUAGAAGGAGACAGUGCAGAGAGCAUCCCCAAUCUAACUUGGGGAUGUGGAUUCCCAAUGAUUUGAGCAGUCAUUUAAACUUAAUGAGCAAAUGAAAGGAGUGGGCAAAAGAAAACAUAAAUGUUUCCUAAACUGGGGAUGGGUGGGAAAGAAAUGACUGGAAAAGGGAGAGUCAAAAAUCAGGGAAACACAGACCAAGUGAGGGGUGGAGAAGAGAACAAGAGCAAGAAGGGAUUCUUUUUGAAAGGCCACUUUAUUGAUGGAGAUAAAACUGAAUGGAGCGCCCCACAGCCCUCCCCUCACUCACGUUAGUGGCUUCACUGGGCAUCUGAGACCAGCGUGGCCUGAAACCCACAUAGGCUGGGCUGCUUAGCCCCCCAGCCUAUCACACCGCCCGCUCCAUGUCAGGCAGCCACAUAAAAACACGUCACAGCUCACGAAGAUUCGUGGAUGCACCUCUGAAUCCCCCCCACAAUGGUUUCUGUGCAUUUUUUUUUAAUAUUGUACAAAAUAUGUUAACUAGGAAAAGUUAGCUGUUCUGUGACAAGUGCGGGACGUCCUAUGAGGAUUCCCGUCCCCCAGGCAUUACUUCUUAUUGCAGUAAGACCUCUAAAAGGUGGCGCUGUACAAACAAAAAAAUCUAAAGGAUU
Molecule: long non-coding RNA, 2907 nt
Organism: Sapajus apella (tufted capuchin)
Lineage: Eukaryota; Metazoa; Chordata; Mammalia; Primates; Cebidae
Exons: 2
Source: RefSeq, a predicted model, not a curated record